Molecule: transfer RNA, 66 nt
Filed under: Oopsacas minuta
Lineage: Eukaryota; Metazoa; Porifera; Hexactinellida; Lyssacinosida; Leucopsacidae
Description: tRNA-Arg
Source: RNAcentral
AUCAGUAGUUUAAAAAAAACAUUAAACCUCGAACUUAAAAAUAUAGAAAAACACCUAUCCGAUAAU